AACUACUUAGAAUAGCGUAGGUGCCUGCACGGUCCGUUAGUCUGGAUCGUGACACUUUCCUCUUAUGAAGCAUAUCCCGAAUAGGGUGACAGGAGUAGAUAAUGAUGCUCUAGGAGAUAUUCCUGAAGAACAAGAUAUGAAAAAGUUUGUUUUAAAUCUAAAUUGAGAUACUGUUUGUGGCCCUGAUGGCCUAUCAGGGAAAUAUUACCAAUGUUGCUUGGAAAUUAUGAAAACAGAUGUUAUCAGAUUGGUGGUGGAUUUCUUUGCAGGUGGAUUCCAAUUUAAUAAUAUUGAAGAAGUACUAGGAACAGGCAAGAGAAUGACGGGAACUCCAAACAUACGAAGGAAUAUCCAGAAUAUAUGACAAUAACAGCACAAUCUACAUCAAUGCAUAAGGGUUACAUAGAUUCUACCAUACAGUAAGCUAAAGAGAAGAACAAAUUCAGUACAGCAAGCUAUUGUAUAGGGAGAUAUGUCAACACACAUGCAAGGAAUGAAAUAGGAUGAUCAAUAAUUUAAAAUUGGGGCUAGUAAAGAUUACAUAGUACCAGUAUUAGACAUAAAUCUAUAAAUCUGAAGAUCUGCACCUGGUGAGAGAUAGAGGUAUCGAAAGAUUAUGUAUUCAAAUGCUAGUUCAUUUUAAUCAAAAUGUAAGCUACGAUUUUGA
This is a long non-coding RNA of Capsicum annuum, 667 nucleotides long. RefSeq lists it as uncharacterized. Lineage: Eukaryota; Viridiplantae; Streptophyta; Magnoliopsida; Solanales; Solanaceae. The transcript is spliced from 3 exons. The record is from RefSeq and is a predicted model, not a curated record.